GUAUUCAUUAAUCAUCAUUGAGAGUUGAGACUUAGGAACUGUAACAGAACAUGGGAACAAAGAGGAUGUAGUUCCUAAAACUUAGGAAGUGAAAUACUACUAGAAAACAUGGGAAAACAGAACAAAGAGAUUUGAGAGGAUCAUGGAAUCAUGGCUGAAUUGCAGCAGUUGUUGACCUGGGGUUGUCCAUUUGACUGCAACAGGCUGCUAACAUAAAUAUUGUACAGGCACUAAGCAAGUAUUCAUUAAUCAUCAUUA
This 258-nucleotide unclassified non-coding RNA is filed under the name Hevea brasiliensis (rubber tree). Lineage: Eukaryota; Viridiplantae; Streptophyta; Magnoliopsida; Malpighiales; Euphorbiaceae. The record is from RNAcentral.